CAAUGGCCCUAUUGAAGCUCAUCUCGUUAACCCAUGACAUGUAUGAGUCAAAGUGGAGCCAAAAGCAAACCAUUUCUUUACGGUCGCUGUUUGACUGCUGUUUUCCACGUCUUGCAGCAUUACCAAAAGAUUUGACAUGA
This 140-nucleotide small nucleolar RNA is filed under the name Actinia tenebrosa (Australian red waratah sea anemone). Lineage: Eukaryota; Metazoa; Cnidaria; Anthozoa; Actiniaria; Actiniidae. The record is from RNAcentral.